AUGGUUUUGUUUUGUAAGUCUGAUCAGAAUUGUAAGAAAUGUCAUGUGGCCUUGGGCAGAUCAAGAACAAUGUCUGAAGAAGGAAUAGAAUGGUUGCAAGAUAUUUUGAGAGAUGUACAACUAUCACAAUUUUUAGCAUCAAUAAGAGAUGAUUUACAAAUCACAAGGUUAGAACAUUUUGAUUAUGUUUUAUCGGAAGAUCUAGAAAAAGUUGGAAUAAGCAAGCCAGGAGCAAGAAGGUUGUUAGAUGCAGUUAAAAAAAGAAGAGCUCAACUCUGGAAGCGAAACCUUUUAACAAAACUAAUUCCAGUUUCUAAUAAACAAACUACUAAUAAAAAGGCUGAAGAAGAUAAUUUAUCUCUAAGCCUAACUUGCUUAAUUCAAGAAAAAGAUGUAACUUUAUCCAUUAAAUUAGGGGAUGGUUCUUUUGGAGUUGUUAGAAGAGGAGAAUGGACAAGUCCCACUGGUAGAACAUUGCCUGUAGCUGUUAAAGUACUAAAAGCAGAUGCCCUUGCCCAGCCUGGAAUUUUUGAUGAUUUUAUUAAAGAAGUACAAGCCAUGCACUCUUUAAAACAUCACAAUUUAAUCAAAUUGUAUGGUGUUGUACUAUCUCAGCCAAUGAUGAUGGUAACAGAAUUAGCACCCUUAGGUUCUUUAUUAGAUUGUUUAAGGAAAGAAUGUCAGCAUACACCUGUCACUCUUUUAAGUGAAUAUGCCACACAAGUGGCUACAGGAAUGGCAUAUUUGGAAAGCAAACGCUUUUUACAUAGAGAUUUAGCUUGUAGAAAUGUCUUGUUAGCUGCAAAAGAUAAGGUUAAAAUAGGUGACUUUGGUUUGAUGAGAGCUUUACCUCAACAAGAAGACUGCUAUGUUAUGACAGAGCACAAAAAGGUUCCUUUCCCUUGGUGUGCCCCAGAAUCUUUAAGAUCCAGACAAUUCAGUCAUGCUUCUGAUACUUGGAUGUUCGGUGUUACUGUAUGGGAAAUGUUUACAUUUGGGGAAGAACCUUGGAUGGGCUUGACUGGUUCAGAAAUAUUACGAAAAAUAGCAAGGGACGGCGAACGCUUACACCAUCCGGACGCUUGUCCCAUCGAUAUUUAUGGUAUGCUUUUGCAAUGUUGGGCAAAAAACCCUCAGGAACGUCCUACAUUUGCUGCGAUAAAAGAUUUUUUCCGUAAAGCUACUCCACCUGUUAUGAAAGCUCUCAUGAGGCAAGAUGAGCCAGACAAAUUAAAAAUUCACAUCGGUGAUCAAAUCGCCAUUAUAGACGGUCGACCCGAACUGUAUUGGUGGAAAGGUCAAAAUCAAAGAACUUUUGAUAUUGGAACUUUUCCUAGGUGCAUUGUUGAUCCAAUGCGCCCCACAGCCCCGGAAGAUAUUAGUAAGCCUUUAAAAAAUUCUUUUAUACAUACUGGGCAUGGAUCAGCAUUCGGAGAAUCCUGGGGCAGUCCAGCUUACAUAGAUGCUAUGUAUUUAAAGAAUCCUAUGGAACCUCCAGAUGUUAUGGGCAUACAAAGUGAAUCUCAACCAACACCUCAACUAUCGGAUCGUAGAAAAUCCAAUAACUCAAGAAGUUAUUUAUUGGUCCACCAAAACAAGUUUCACAAAUAUGUUGUUUUUGUCUUCUCAGCGCUCUCUAAUUAUUCAAGAAAAUCGGCUGGAAAGCAGUUCGACUACAGAAAAUUGGCAGAGGACAAGUCUAAGAAUAAACCCUCACGCCCUCCUCAACCGAAAAAUCAUCAUCAGUCAGAAACCAAAGAGAGCAUUUUAAUAGAUAUAUCUCCUAACGAAAGCACAUUGCUUCGGCAGAGUAGUCAGGCGCCCGUUUUGUCCUCUACAAAUGUUUCCAUUUUGGAUGAACCGAUUGAUGUGCCACAGCAAGACGUUUGGGCAGAUAAUUCGAUACCAACUGAUAAUCACAUCCCAUACCAAGAGGAGCAUACAUAUAGCAACUCCUAUAAUUUAAAUAGUGAUACUCAUGUCAGUGGUAAAGACGAUCCAUUUGAUACAUCAAAAGCCUAUUUACCAAACAGAUAUUAUUCCCACGUUGCUCAGUUAGAAGAGUCAGUUUUUCCCAAUAUCCAACCUACCCCUUACAAAAACGAUAUCAAAUCCAUAAAUAAUGGCUUUUCUCCGUCAUCCACAAAACUAAAUGCCUAUGCAGAAUGUGUAAAAAUAAACGACAGCACUUUGCCGGGAAUUACACAUAAUAGUACUCCUGAUCCUUCAGACUUAAAUAAAUUGGAUAGUAAAUUCAUAGAGGAACUUGAAACUUUAAAGAUUAGUAAAGAUGACAAUUCAGAAAAUAUCCCAACUCUGGAUCCUCCUCCCCCUUCAAUAAGAGCGAAAAACUUUGCCGCUCUUAAAUUGAACACAAACCUCGAUGCUCAGGAAAAGCCCGGAGCCUUUGGUUUGAAUACUGUACAAAAUGAUAUUACUUCCAACUGUGAUACAGUGUCAGUGUUUAAUCAAAUUUGGUACGAUUCAGCAAUAAAAGGAACAGGAACCUCAGAUUCUUCCCUCAACUCACAUUCUAUGCUCUCUGAAAAGAAUACAAAUGUACAUAGAAACGCUAAUACAGGACCUUAUUUUCAAACUCCUCUCGAAUUUGGAGAAUUCAAAACUAACAGGCCCUUAAAUGUAAACUCUGGAACUUCAUAUUAUAAUCUUGGACAAGUUUAUGAAUCCAAAUAUCACAAUAAUUCUCUUGGAUAUCAAAGUAAUGCUGUUCAAAAUGGAAACAGUACUGCCAUUAAUUACUCAGUUACGUCUGAAAAUAACGAAGUGUUUUACGAUAUCGCUGGAAGGACUUGCUCUAAUUAUGGACAUCCUGAAUCGGUAUAUAACAGUUCGGGAAGUACUUGUAAUUCUCAAAAUGCUGUAUAUGGUAGUCAGAGACUGUACAGUGAGGUAGCUGAAAGUGUGUAUUCAGAAAUACCUGAAAAUUAUUACAGUGUUGUACCUGAUGGUAGUCUUUUACCUCAUAGACCAGCUCCACCAUCGCCCCUAGUUAUUGUGGGCCAACCACAGAGCAUGCAACAAAUCCAAAGGAAGAUACAGCAGGGACAAUUGAGUGCAGAUGCUGAGAGACUGAUGACCCCCGAAUUUCGAAAUAAUAAAAUAGGUAGGAUAAGAGAAGAAGUGCCUGAUACAACUAAAGAAGAAUGUUUGAAUGCUUUACAAAAUUGCGGUUGGGACGCCAGUGCUGCAAUUCGAUUUAUUAAAGUCGAUAAAUUACUAAAAUUGGGAUUAGCAAAUAAAGACAAAUGCGAAGCUGCUUUACAAAAAUCAAAUUGGAACGUAGAAAUUGCAGCAUCUAACAUUUUGGAUUAAUGAUAAGUUAUCUGUAAGUUUGACUUCAACUUAUUAGUUACAAUUUUCAUUAUGUAUGUUAAAUACAUUAAUGUUUCUUUGUCUUAAUUACUGUUAAAAGCAAUCAAUCUUAUGAAAUUAUAUUUACUAAAUUGUCAAAACAAAAAAUAUAAAUAGUUUUUUUCUUGAACAACAAUAAUCAUUUUGUCACAUAUUAGCUCCUUCAGGUGGAGAAAGAAUAUUAUUUGUGUUUUUCUUUUUUGGUCAUGUAGCAAUGUCUGCUAUCAAUUUUUAAGAUAAUAUAUUUUUGUAUGUUAUAAAUUUUGAAAUAUUGGAUAUUUUGUAGAUAUUGAAAAAAUAUUCAGCAAUUAUUUCAAUUUCUACUUACUUUACAUAUUUAUAAUUGGUAUUUUAUUUCACACUGUGAUAAAUUAAUCCAUAUGCUGUCUAAAGAACAAUGAAUUAUUUCUUUAAAUUUAAUUUAUUUACAGAUUAAUAGAAAAUGUAAAAACAAACUUUAGAAAAGUUUAUUACUAUGUAUAUAUUACGUGCUACGAUAGAAAAAGUUUUUUUUAGCCAUCAACCUUUUUUAAUAAAUAAUAGUGACUACACUGAAUGCCCAUAUUUCCUUUUAUUUAUUUUGUUUAGCAAUAGUAUUAUUAUCAUGUAGUUCUAUGUGGAACAAAAAUUCCACUGUAGUCCAAAGAGAUAUCAGCGAAUGCAUUUUUAUUUAAAAUAAAGAAUUCUUUUGUUAAGUCAAUACGAUCUCUCUUUUUUUGUUUUGUGUAAUUUACUUAAAUAUUUAUUAUUUUUACCAUUGAAGGUGCCAAAAAUAUUAUUUCUUACUAUGUGAUAUAUCACCAUGUUAGAAUGUAUCAUGUACAUAGGUAACUUUGGUAGUGCCUACUGGAAAAUUACUUGUAUCUGAUUAGUUUGUAUUUUUUAUUGAACUUUUAUUAAUAAACAGUUAUUUUCCUACUCAAACGUUUGUGUGAUAAGCUGAUAAGUGUAAUUACUUUUUAUUUUCUAAUCAAUUUAUUUAGUUGAUGGAUUUGAGAUGUGGUGUUAUAGGAUAAUGAAAAUAUCGUGGAUAGAAAUGGUUAUUGGAAAUAGUGAGAAGAAAGGGCAUUAUGGAAGUCGGUAAAGAAAAGGAGAGAGGAUGUUAGGACACCUUAUGAGACAUGAAGAAAAUGUGAAGUUUAAAGUGGAGAUGCUAGUAUACUCAAUCUUGAGACAAACGACCUUGUAAUGAUUUAACGACAAGUAACUGAAUGCAGGUACAUAUUUAUACAAUGAAAAACUUAGUUAACAAAUUAACAGUUAAAUGGUUUAACACACUCUUCUGUAUUACUGAAUUUCGUUCAAAUUUCCAAUAUCAUUAAUGUUGUAUAGUUUACGUUUCUUUUUAAUAAAUUUAGUUUCAGUAGCGUUAGACACUUGAA
Molecule: unclassified non-coding RNA, 4754 nt
Filed under: Agrilus planipennis (emerald ash borer)
Lineage: Eukaryota; Metazoa; Arthropoda; Insecta; Coleoptera; Buprestidae
Description: activated CDC42 kinase 1, transcript variant X4
Source: RNAcentral